GUGCCUAAUACAUGCAAGUCGAGCGAACAGACGAGGAGCUUGCUUCUCUGACGUUAGCGGCGGACGGGUGAGUAACACGUGGAUAACCUACCUAUAAGACUGGGAUAACUUCGGGAAACCGGAGCUAAUACCGGAUAAUAUAUUGAACCGCAUGGUUCAAUAGUGAAAGACGGUUUUGCUGUCACUUAUAGAUGGAUCCGCGCCGCAUUAGCUAGUUGGUAAGGUAACGGCUUACCAAGGCAACGAUGCGUAGCCGACCCGAGAGGGUGAUCGGCCACACUGGAACUGAGACACGGUCCAGACUCCUACGGGAGGCAGCAGUAGGGAAUCUUCCGCAAUGGGCGAAAGCCUGACGGAGCAACGCCGCGUGAGUGAUGAAGGUCUUCGGAUCGUAAAACUCUGUUAUUAGGGAAGAACAAAUGUGUAAGUAACUAUGCACGUCUUGACGGUACCUAAUCAGAAAGCCACGGCUAACUACGUGCCAGCAGCCGCGGUAAUACGUAGGUGGCAAGCGUUAUCCGGAAUUAUUGGGCGUAAAGCGCGCGUAGGCGGUUUUUUAAGUCUGAUGUGAAAGCCCACGGCUCAACCGUGGAGGGUCAUUGGAAACUGGAAAACUUGAGUGCAGAAGAGGAAAGUGGAAUUCCAUGUGUAGCGGUGAAAUGCGCAGAGAUAUGGAGGAACACCAGUGGCGAAGGCGACUUUCUGGUCUGUAACUGACGCUGAUGUGCGAAAGCGUGGGGAUCAAACAGGAUUAGAUACCCUGGUAGUCCACGCCGUAAACGAUGAGUGCUAAGUGUUA
This 799-nucleotide ribosomal RNA is filed under the name uncultured Staphylococcus sp. RNAcentral describes it as "bacterial SSU rRNA". It matches the Rfam family "Bacterial small subunit ribosomal RNA", at positions 44 to 825 of the family's 1533-position model. The record is from RNAcentral. Lineage: Bacteria; Bacillati; Bacillota; Bacilli; Caryophanales; Staphylococcaceae.